RNAcentral lists this long non-coding RNA (2275 nucleotides) under Olea europaea (common olive). RNAcentral's name for it is "long non-coding RNA (OEUR_LNC015265)". Lineage: Eukaryota; Viridiplantae; Streptophyta; Magnoliopsida; Lamiales; Oleaceae. The record is from RNAcentral.
UAAAUUGUCAUGGCUUCUUUUUUUAGUGUUCUUGAUAUCUCAUACUUUUUUUUAGUUGUUCGGCUUUGAAUCUAAUGUAAAAUAAUUGAUGUUUCUUCCCAACUAACACCUAGAGGGGAUAAAUAGGUGUAUAAUGUGGAAUUAAAUUAACCACCAAUAAUAAGCAGUCACUAAUUAUUGACUCUAGAUGAACAAGUUUAAUUAAAUUAACCUAAUUAUUAAUCAAUCAAGCAUUCAAAUCCAAGCAGUAAAAGUAAAGAACACCAAUAUUUGUUAACAAAGGAAAACCCUUGAAGAACUCCCCAUGGAUAAGGAAAUCUUAUGACCACGCAACUUAUAAAUCAUCAAAGAACUCUUCAAUUGUGCCACCUGCACUUUCCAGAAACUCUGACUUCUUUUCCGUCCAUAUGGAUCACCAAAAAGCGAACCUUGUUCUUCUCCUAGUGGAACUCCAUCUGUCUCUCCUGAACUUCUGAAGGUAAAGGAUUUAGUUUAAGUGGUUUGAUCUUUGGAUAUUUUGUGUUUUGAUCAUGUGGUUGAGGCGAAAGAUUUAUGGAAUAUGUAUUUUAUCCCUGUAGGAUGUUCUCGACUAAAAUGAAGUCUCAACCAAUUUUCAGAGAUGGUUCGGAUGAACUAUGGCUUGGGUUUAAAAUAAUAUGGAGUGUUUGAGGUUUUUUGAGAUUGUAAAAUCAGUGGAAAAUCAUGAGGGUUGGCCGAAUAAUACGUUUGCUCGAGCGGAUAUCUCGCGGGUAGUGAGUGAUCACACGUCCGCUCGAACACUCAUGGCGUGGACGACGAGCGGUGGAAUUAUUGUUAAAACCACUCGAGCGGUCUCUAGGCGUGGUGCGAGCAGUUUUGCAUCAACUUUUUCUCCUUGUUCGGUUUUUGACUCCUUCAAAACACUUCCAACCCCCAACUCUCUGACCUUAAUGACAACUCAAUAAACUCUGAUUUUAAACACGCAACUAACCAAUACAAUUUGGACCCAACAAAAUGUAUUUCAAUAUUUGAGCAGGGGCUGCAAUAUACUAAAGGAAAAUCAGUAGUUGUGACUUGUGACAAUUAAAGUGAAGAGCAUCAUGUGGUGGUACUCUAUCGACGUGUUUCAGAAAGUUAUCUUUUUAAACUUAUACUGCCGUGUGAUUUUAUAAGAGGCAGACAUCAGCUUCCACUCAUAACGUCUUAAUCGCUCUUGCAUUACAUCUAUAAUACACACAUCUAUUUCCAUGGGAUCUACUCGCUUUGUGGUCAUUCCUCGCCAUGUUCUCUGGAUCAGCUGAGUUUUUGUUCUACUCCUGAAGUUCCCGCUACAUUUUUUUAGCAUUGACAUCUAGACCACUGUUGAUUUAUUCGGGUUUUCAAUUUGUUUUAGUCAAUUAAGUUUAGUGAUUUAUAUACGAUAUUUGGCUAGUGAUUGCUGAUUUUCUCAAAGAAAGGGUUGUCAAUUGUUAUGCUUUGUGCUAACUUCCUCUAGGCAUAUAUUGUUGCGCUUGUGAACAAAGUUUACGACCUCUUGGGUUAUUCUAUCACGCCGUCCUAACAGUAGCGCUAUUUUGAGUGAACGGGAUAGGGACAAGUAGUUAUGGUGUGCCAAGCAGCUCGUCAGAUAAGAUUUCGGGCAUGGAAACAUGAGAAUGGAAUUGCUGGGCGUGCCAUCAAUAUAGUAGUUAUAGCAUGCUUUCAACCUAUCCAGGAUUGCCAGGUUACUAUACAAUAUUUGAUUUUGGAGAACAAGAUUCAACCGAAAAAAUGUUAGUUACUUUUGUUUUAUUCUACAAUGCUCAUAAGAAAGCUUAAUAACUUUUUUUGGAUAUAUUUCAGGCUGAAUAUUUCCGCCAAUUGCUUAAACCUGUUAUGUAGAUUGAUUUUCUUUCUGCCACUUUCGAGUUAAGCUUGGCUUUACAGGUUAUGUUUAAAGUGAGAGGUGAGUUUUAUUACUACUGGUGUUUUAAACUGGCAAGACUUCGAUUUCUCUGUUUUUUCAUUUUGAUUCAAGGGUAUUUAACAUUUGAUUUGUCUAAUGAAUCAAUCUCUGCAUAUUGUUAGGUGAUUUUUCCGCUUAAAUGGAAAAGGACUUAGGUCAUCUCCAAACUUGCACCAAAUUUUGUACCAAAUUUUACACCAAAUCUUGCACUAAAUUAAAAUUCAUUUUCAACCAUUACACCAAAAGUUACACAAAAUGAACAGUGUUUAAUCAUUGUCUUCCUUUUUUUUUAUUCUUUAUAAUUUAUUUAUUUGAAAUAUUAUUUAUUUAAUUAUUUAAUAAAUACAUAAA